Molecule: ribosomal RNA, 449 nt
Filed under: uncultured bacterium
Lineage: Bacteria
Description: bacterial SSU rRNA
Rfam family: Bacterial small subunit ribosomal RNA
Source: RNAcentral
UGGGGAAUUUUGGACAAUGGGGGCAACCCUGAUCCAGCCAUGCCGCGUGAGUGAAGAAGGCCUUCGGGUUGUAAAGCUCUUUCGGUCGGAGAGAAAGCCUGCCCAUGAAUAGUGGGUGGGGUUGACGGUACCGGCAGAAGAAGCACCGGCUAACUACGUGCCAGCAGCCGCGGUAAUACGUAGGGUGCGAGCGUUAAUCGGAAUUACUGGGCGUAAAGCGUGCGCAGGCGGUUUGCUAAGCUUGAUGUGAAAGCCCCGGGCUUAACCUGGGAAUGGCAUUGAGGACUGGCAGGCUAGAGUGUGGCAGAGGGGGGUGGAAUUCCACGUGUAGCAGUGAAAUGCGUAGAGAUGUGGAGGAACACCGAUGGCGAAGGCAGCCCCCUGGGCUAACACUGACGCUCAGGCACGAAAGCGUGGGGAGCAAACAGGAUUAGAUACCCCCGUAGUCC